UUACCGGUAUACAUACAUUUUAUCCACGCCAUUUUAUCUAGAACAACCUGAAAAUUUUCGCAUUUGCUGUAAUCCAAAAGCUUGGUAAAAAAUAAGUUUCAGGUUCAACCUUAUAAAGCUCUAUAAUGUCCGAUUAUCGAUCGCAAUCCCGUGAUGGUCACCGAGAUGGUGGACGUGGAGGUGGCGGCAGAGAUUAUUCCAGUGAUGACGAUCCACCAAUGUCGCGACUUUUUAUAAUUUGUAAUAAAGCUCAUACAGAAGAUGAUUUUCGUGAAGCAUUCUCGUCCUAUGGCGAAAUCGAAGAUAUUUGGGUAGUGAAGGACAAAAACUCGGGCGAAAACAAAGGUAUUGCCUAUGUAAAAUUUGCGAAGACUUCGGAUGCGGCUAAAGCACAAGAAGAGAUGAAUGGCAAAACAAUCGGCAAAAUGGACCGAACCUUGAAAGUGUUGGUUGCUGCAAACCGAAACCAGGGAUCUAAUAAAAGUGAAAAUGAACAGGAAAAAUAUGUUCGCCUAUUUAUUGUUAUAUCCAAAUCUGCAACGGAAGAGGAAAUAAGGAAUGAAUUUUCACAAUGGGGAGAUGUGGAAAAUGUAACGAUUGUCAAAGAUAAAUCAAGCGGAUCACCUAAAGGAUUUGGAUAUGUUCGAUUUACAAAGUUCUAUCAUGCUGCUGUAGCUUUUGAAAAUUGCCCUCCCAAAUACAAAGCUGUGUUUGCUGAACCUAAAGGAUCGUCACGAUCUCAACGAGAUCAGUAUGGAAGAUCAGGUGAUGAUAACCCCCUAAUAGGUUCCGGUCGCAGUGGUGGUGGAGGAGGAGGAGGAGGCAGUGGCAGCGGUACUUAUAAUAAUGGAAAUUUUAAUAACGAUUGGAACUGUUCUUUUAACAACGAUAUGUCAGCAUUUUUACGAAUGCAAAAUGUACCUGUUCCGCAACCAACAUGUUUAGAAGUGAUUGCUAGCAAUUGUGUUAACCAGGAUCAGUUGUGGCGCUUAUUUGACAUCAUACCAGGCUUGGAUUACUGUCAAAUAACUCGAGAAUAUGGGCCAAGAACCAACGAGGCAAUUGUUGUUUACGAUAAUCCAGAAGCCGCUAUUUACGCAAAAGAUAAAUUGCAUGGGCUGGAAUACCCAAUAGGGGAACGACUCAUUGUUAAAGUGGCGGGCAUGAGUUCAGCACGAAUGGAUACAUCGUUUAUUGAUAAGCGAACUAAAAAAGAUUCAAUAUGCAGUGUUGCAUUACCACCUGCUCAGCCAAUGGUAUCGUCCGAAACGCCAGUUGCGCAACGAUUGUUUAUUGUAUUAGCUGCUAACCUACCACAGUCUAUAUUGAAAAAUGUAUUUUCAUGCUGGAAGGGACUAAUUGAUGUGUACUUGUUGCCGAAUAAAAAUUGCGGCUAUGUAAAGUACGCAGAUAGAGAAAGCGCACAAAAAGCCAUUCAACAAUUGAAUGGUGCGGAAAUUUGUGGAACAAAAAUAAAGGUAAUGGAAGCAGAAGAGAGAGGUAAUGGAGAUGGUGAUGACAAUGGAAGGAAGCGUCUUCGAAGGAAUUAAAGGAAAGGUAAAAAUAUAACUUUUAUUUCUUUCUUUACAAUCCGCAACUGACAAUAUCCAUGUGAAAUAUUUUUAAACGACAUAAACAUAAAGCAAACCAAAUUAAAACCAUAACAAUAACGUUCCAUUACUUAAUUGUACAAGAAAUAUAAUGAAACUAACUGACCGCAGAAAACAAUACGGAUACAUAACGCAAACGGAGUUGAAACGGAAACUGCUAGAUACAGUAAGAACGAAGAAUAUAUAAAAAAGGUGUUUCAGCAAUGAACAAUCACCACCAACCCAACCGACUCAGACCUUCACAAUCACUCUGUCACAUCAUUAGUCACCACAAUAUGAAUAAAGCCACAGAAUGUCACUUGUAGACAAUGACCAAUUUGAGACCAAGUACCCCAAUACACAAACGGAGCCAAACGCUAACGGAGCGCAACGGACACUGCAAAGAGCUAAAACUACAGUACAGAAAAAGAAUUGAUAUUACAGAGUAUUUAUUUGCGCAGAGCUUUUACAAGAAAAAUUAAACGUAACCUGAACGUAAAACGAGAACGCGAAACUGAACUAAAACCCAUAAGGACGAAGAUAUAUACGCUACGAAUCACGAUGCAAGAACCGAAUUAACUUUUACCACAGCAAACUUUAAUACUCCUUUUUCAAGAAAAUACAUACAAAUACUUUUAACACUUCAA
This 2236-nucleotide unclassified non-coding RNA is filed under the name Rhagoletis pomonella (apple maggot). RNAcentral's name for it is "rNA-binding protein 45, transcript variant X1". Lineage: Eukaryota; Metazoa; Arthropoda; Insecta; Diptera; Tephritidae. The record is from RNAcentral.